Molecule: long non-coding RNA, 4701 nt
Filed under: Homo sapiens (human)
Lineage: Eukaryota; Metazoa; Chordata; Mammalia; Primates; Hominidae
Description: HSALNT0359309
Source: RNAcentral
ACUGAACUAGAUUGCAUACUUUUCUUCUAGAUAAAUAUUAUUUAAGAAGUAAUUCCUUAGGAGAAAAAUGACUCUGUAAAUUGUUUCCUUUUCAGUCCGCCUGCCACUGCCCCCGACCAUACGCAGAUAUACACAAGACAGGAAUUUUUCUUUUUUUUUUUGAGAUGGAGUCUAGUUCUGUCUCCCAGGCUGGAGUGCAGCGUCACGAUCUCAGCUCACUGCAACCCCCACCUUCCGGGUUCGACCGAUUCUCCUGUCUCAGCCUCCUAAGUAGCUGGGAUUACAGGUGCGCACUGCCACGCCCGGCAAAUUUUUGUAUUUUUAGUAGAGACAGGGUUUCAACAUGUUGGUCAGGCUGGUCUCAAACUCCUGAUCUCGUGAUCCGCCUGCCUCGGCCUCCCAAAGUGCUGGGAUUACAGGCGUGAGCCACUGCGCCCGGCCAGGAAUGAUUUUUUUCCAACACAACAGAAUUUGUAGAGGCAAGUUGGUGGUAGGGUGGCUGUUGCUCUAAUUUUACUAAAAGCAAAAGUAUCUGAAAUUCUUGACAGUUAAUGCCCUAGAAAACAGCAAAUUUCAGUAAAGAAGACUCUGCUUCUGUGAACUUAUUUCUAAAAAGUAAAGAAGAGGUGACACAAACUUGGGGAGAAAGUUAUCUUGAUGCCCAUCAUAGAAAUGAAAGAAAUAUGUGGCAUUCCUUACAAUCUUAGAACUCUUGGAGUAGGGGUAGGAGCUUGCAUUGUAGAGUCCUAGCUAAACAAGGUAACACUUAUUUUAUAUUUAUAGUAUGUUAUGUUACUGUUAGUAUGAGUAUGCUACUGAACCACAUACAUAGGACCAGUUAGACCGGACUUGGAUUAUUAUAUUCAAUUGUGUGAAUCAAAUAUAAGAGGGGAUUUUUUUAUUCAGAGGAGGAAAGUGGAAUCAGAGCAUCCAGAAUUUAUUGCACAAGCAUAGAUACGAAAAUUAGUGCUGCUUAUUCUAGAGAUGAAAGAAGACUAUACCAUGUUAUCGUCUUCACAUAUGUGGAAGAAUCACAAAGAGUGAGUGGAUAUUACUUGUGUGGCUUUGGGAGUCAAAACUAAGGCCAGCAGGUGGAAGGUUACAAGGGGUCAGACAACCUUUAACAAUAUUCAGCGAUCGAACUGUCUGGAAGUAUCCAAGCAGUGGCUGGAUUGGCAUUUUUCAGAGAUGUUGUAGAGAGGAUUUCAGCCUAGUUCGACCAACAGGUUAUAAUCUCACUAGUACAAGAAAGUGGGAUGAUUCCUCCAAUUGAAGGCUUUAGCUGCUCAGCUACCAAAGAUAUACUAGCUUUUGUGAUUGCCAUUCAUAUCUUUUCCCAAAAUGAUAACCAUUGGAGACCUCCAAUAACCUCUCAGUAACAUUUUCUUCUUUGGCUGUAGGCCAACAUCAUAGUUACAAGAGAUGCACAAAAUUUAUCCAACACUCUUCACCUAGAACUACAGUUAUAGAUUGUUGUUUUCAGGAUUGGUUUUUGCUAUGGGAGAUAAAUCAUACAUCAGCAGGAAACCCUAGUGUCAAAUAAAGAUCAGUCUAUUUAGGAAUUCAUCAUCUUUCUUGACUUAUCAAAUCUCCCAAUGUAUUAUCAAGACUUUGAGCUAUACCUUUGCCCUCAGCGCUUGCUGGAUUUGGAGGUAGACAGUUGACUUCAAUAACAAGAGUUUGGAGUACUCCUUUCAGUGUACCCCCAUUCAGAUGGUCAAAAUUUCAUCACCGUAGAGGCCAUGGCGUUCUUUUCCAAGUUUCUACUAAUCUGGCCAGACAGUAUGUCUAUCCCAAGUUGAGAUGGGCAAAGUCCUCUCCCUUGUAUUCUUCGUUCUUAAGAAGUAUAUGUGGGAAAUAAUUUUCUGGAUCUUAGCAAACUAAAGUUAAUAGUAAAUGAGGCCCGGGCACAGUGCCACAGGCUAUAAUCCCAGCACUCUGGGAGGCAAAGGCAGGAGUAUCACCUGAACUCAAGAGUUCAAGACCAGCCUGGGCAACAAUGGUGACACCUCAUCUCUACAAGAAAAUAGAAAAAUGAGCCGGGCAUGGUGGCACAGAACUGACACUCUGGGAGGCAAAGACAGGAGUAUCACUUGAGCUUAAGAGUUCAAGAGCAGCCUGGGCAACAUGGCGAAACCCCAUCUCUACAAAAAAAUAGAAAAAGUAGCCAGGCAUGGUGGUGCAGGCCUGUAGUCCUAGCUACUUGGGAGGCUAAGGUUAGAGGAUUACUUGAGCCAAGGCUGCAGUGAGCCGAGAUUGCGCCAUUGCACUCUAGGCUGGGCAACAGAGGGAAACCUUGUAACACAAAAUAGUAAAUGAGAAGUUUAAAAUGACAUUCCUCAGAAAAAAUGUGUCACUGAGAGUCCUGGCUAAAGGUUGCUUGAAAGCUGAAGGCUGUUUGAUUAUACCUUCCAAUCUCCCAGACUACAGGAGCUUUGUUUUGUGGCAUUUGUUGACAUUUUUCCAGAACUUUGCCUUUGGACAAAACCCUGUGUGAUAGCCUACCUUUAGAUAUUGCAAGACAUCACCAUCUCAUAUGGGACCAAUUGUGUUAUCAGUGAUUAAUCCCACCUUUGGACUAUGAAAGACAGGAGGGGGAUAGCAUUUAGUUAAACUUCCUAAGAGUCUAAGUUGGUUUCUCUGUAGGAACUUGACUGCCUCACAGCUUUUGGGAAACCAUUCAGAUGAAAGCAUGUUUCCAGUGUAGCAGCAAAAUGUGAUAUUAUUAACAAUAGUCAUAGUUAGCAAGCAGUACCUGGAGUUGCUGAAACUGAUGGCAUCUAGAUAAGUAAUAAAUUUGACAAGAGGCUGCUUUUCUCUGUUUUCACAAAUCAUUAACACCAUAUUCUUUGUGAGGAUCCUUUCCUAUUCCAGCAGAGUAUUAGACAUGCAUUAAACAAAUGUUUGUCAAGUCCUGCUAUAUGCCAGACACUGACCUUGUCCCUGAGUAAACUGAAAUGAACAGGACACAAUACCUGCCAUUAACUGACACAUGGUUAAUGUGGUCAACAAGUAUACUUUACAGAUAGGCCUGCUUUGCUUCACUGUAAGUACUAUAUAGUAGAUUCAUACUCUGUGUAUGGUUUCAUCAGAAUUUUCACAAGUAGAACAGUGUUUGAAGUUGAGUGCUGUUCCAUAAUUACAAAAUAAACUACAGUGUGUCCUGAGCAGCCAUGACUACCAACUUUAUUUAGGCUUCUGGUUCCUCAUAAAGAGAUCCUUAGAAUAUGGAGAUUUACAUUGACUCUGAUGAUAUGCCUAUUCAUGUUCUACCUGGCCAGUGAGAACAUGAUCAGAAUAUACCCUGCAGAGCAUUUUUUCUUCCAGAAAUUGGUGCUUAACAGAAGUACUUUGAACUAUUCUUGAGACCAUAACAAUAGAGAUUUUAUCAAGGAUUACUCCUCAGUUUGGGAAGUAUGGUUUUUUGGGGGUUGUGGGGGUGAGGCACAGAGUUUCACUCUUGUCGCCCAGGCUGGAGUGCAGUGGUGCGAUCUUGGCUCACUUCAACCUCCACCUCCCAGGUUCAAGCAAUUCUCCUGCCUCCUGCUUCAGCCUCCCGAGUAGCUGGGAUUACAGGUAUGUACCACCACGCCUGGCUAAUUUUUAUAUUUUUAGUAGAAACAGGGUUUCACCAUGUUGGCUAUGGUGGUCUCGAAUUCCUGACCUCAGGUGAUCCACCCACCUCUGUCUCCCAAAGUGCUGGGAUUACAGGUGUGAGCCACAGUGCCCAGCCAGGAAGUAUCUUCAAUCUAAAGAUUUCGCCAAACUCCAAGCAACUUUUUUUUUUUUUUUUAAACAUAGCUACCUAUUGACUGCCUCCAAAUAAUUUCCUUUAAGUGCCCAAGAUGUGGCUUCAAACAUUAAAAUCUCAGACUAUUAAUCUACUGUCUCAGCAUAGCAGAUUACAUUCACUCACAUAUUGUAGUCCUUACAGUGUGACUGUAAAAUCAUACCUCUACUAUCAGUCACCAGACUGGUUUCAGACAUCUUAAUGACUAGGGAAUCAUGUUGAUACAGACAUUGACACAGAAGUCUGUGUCUUGGAAUGUUGGUAACUAUGUGGAUAUAAUCACUUUACCCAUUCUACCCAUAUCGAUCGCCUCAGCUAAAACUUCAGUUUCAGUUAUGUCUUUCUCUUUAACUCUGAUUUCAUGCAACCCUCUUCUCUUUCCAGCCUUAUUUUGACAGAAGGCUACUACUUGACCUUCCUUUAGAUCACCAAUCCUUUGGGACAGAUAUCUUCCCAGUUGACACUGUCUCUCAUAACAGCUAGUUAUUUUACUCCAGCUAUUUCUGUGCACAUCUAACUCUCCUUUCUGGGGGAGUUAACCUGUGAGUCACCAUUUUGAUUACUUCAGAUAUGCUUAUUACUGCUGAAGAAUAGUAAUCCUUAUUCUAAAAUGCUUGGGUACAUCAAAUAACUUUAUAGAGGUAGCUUUACAGGUUUUUCUUUAUUUUGAUUCUUUUUCUCUUACUCUCCAAUUUAAGAAGCCUUUUUCUAAAAGCACUUCCUGCAGGUGGGUGCUAAGUGGUUGGGAUAGCAGAACCAUAGAUUAGGGCAACUGUAGAUAACCUACUUGGGGAGGACAGUGUGAUCAGCAAUGCCCAGGAAGUGAUCAGGAAGGAAGGCUGAAGUCAGGGCUAAUGACAGCAAGAGCUGACCUUCCCCUCUGACAUUUUCCUACUUGGCUUCUGCAAUGC